UUUAAUUGAAGAGUUUGAUCAUGGCUAAGAUUGAACGCUGGCGGCAGGCCUAACACAUGAAAUUCGAGCGGUAAGAGGGGAAGCGUGCUUC
RNAcentral lists this ribosomal RNA (91 nucleotides) under Providencia rettgeri. RNAcentral describes it as "partial 16S ribosomal RNA". The record is from RNAcentral. Lineage: Bacteria; Pseudomonadati; Pseudomonadota; Gammaproteobacteria; Enterobacterales; Morganellaceae.